This 73-nucleotide transfer RNA is filed under the name Pseudocercospora fijiensis CIRAD86. RNAcentral's name for it is "tRNA-Arg (CCG) (tRNA-Arg-CCG-1-1)". It matches the Rfam family "tRNA". From Rfam's summary of the family: Transfer RNA (tRNA) molecules are approximately 80 nucleotides in length. Their secondary structure includes four short double-helical elements and three loops (D, anti-codon, and T loops). Further hydrogen bonds mediate the characteristic L-shaped molecular structure. tRNAs have two regions of fundamental functional importance: the anti-codon, which is responsible for specific mRNA codon recognition, and the 3' end, to which the tRNAs corresponding amino acid is attached (by aminoacyl-tRNA synthetases). tRNAs cope with the degeneracy of the genetic code in two manners: having more than one tRNA (with a specific anti-codon) for a particular amino acid; and 'wobble' base-pairing, i.e. permitting non-standard base-pairing at the 3rd anti-codon position. Lineage: Eukaryota; Fungi; Ascomycota; Dothideomycetes; Mycosphaerellales; Mycosphaerellaceae. The record is from RNAcentral.
GGCAUUGUGGCCUAAUGGUAAGGCGUUGCUUUCCGGUGGCAAAGAUUGUGGGUUCGAGUCCCAUCAGUGGUUA